RNAcentral lists this ribosomal RNA (520 nucleotides) under Clostridioides difficile. Its description in RNAcentral is "bacterial SSU rRNA". It matches the Rfam family "Bacterial small subunit ribosomal RNA", at positions 1004 to 1524 of the family's 1533-position model. Lineage: Bacteria; Bacillati; Bacillota; Clostridia; Peptostreptococcales; Peptostreptococcaceae. The record is from RNAcentral.
AAUCGGAGAGUUCCCUUCGGGGACAUUGGUGACAGGUGGUGCAUGGUUGUCGUCAGCUCGUGUCGUGAGAUGUUGGGUUAAGUCCCGCAACGAGCGCAACCCUUGUCUUUAGUUGCCAUCAUUAAGUUGGGCACUCUAGAGAGACUGCCAGGGAUAACCUGGAGGAAGGUGGGGAUGACGUCAAAUCAUCAUGCCCCUUAUGCUUAGGGCUACACACGUGCUACAAUGGGUAGUACAGAGGGUUGCCAAGCCGUAAGGUGGAGCUAAUCCCUUAAAGCUACUCUCAGUUCGGAUUGUAGGCUGAAACUCGCCUACAUGAAGCUGGAGUUACUAGUAAUCGCAGAUCAGAAUGCUGCGGUGAAUGCGUUCCCGGGUCUUGUACACACCGCCCGUCACACCACGGGAGUUGGAGACGCCCGAAGCCGAUUAUCUAACCUUUUGGAAGAAGUCGUCGAAGGUGGAAUCAAUAACUGGGGUGAAGUCGUAACAAGGUAGCCGUAUCGGAAGGUGCGGCUGGAUC